AAUAAGCUAAUUAAGAGCGUAAGGUGGAUGCCUUGGCUCUCAGAGGCGAUGAAGGACGUGAUAAGCUGCGAUAAGCUACGGGGAUUGGCACACACAAUUUGAUCCGUAGAUUUCCGAAUGGGGAAACCCACUAUAUUGAAGAUAUAGUAUCCGUUAAGGAAGCAAACCCAGGGAACUGAAACAUCUAAGUACCUGGAGGAAUAGAAAACAAAAGUGAUUCCGCUAGUAGUGGCGAGCGAACGCGGAACAGCCCAAACUAAAAUUGUUUCGGCAAUUUUGGGGUUGUAGGACCACGAUAUUGAAUGUUUAAUGAAUUAGAAUUCUUUGGAAAAAGAAACCAUAGAGGGUGAUAGUCCCGUAUAA
This 363-nucleotide ribosomal RNA is filed under the name uncultured Flavobacteriaceae bacterium. RNAcentral describes it as "bacterial LSU rRNA". It matches the Rfam family "Bacterial large subunit ribosomal RNA", at positions 1 to 380 of the family's 2925-position model. Lineage: Bacteria; Pseudomonadati; Bacteroidota; Flavobacteriia; Flavobacteriales; Flavobacteriaceae. The record is from RNAcentral.